This 10254-nucleotide long non-coding RNA is filed under the name Daucus carota (carrot). RNAcentral's name for it is "long non-coding RNA (DCAR_LNC001411)". Lineage: Eukaryota; Viridiplantae; Streptophyta; Magnoliopsida; Apiales; Apiaceae. The record is from RNAcentral.
UUAUAUUUAUUUAUUAAUUAUUGGACUUCCGUAAAACUGUUCACUCGUAACGAGGUGGCAAAUUUUCUUCCCGGAAGUUUCAACAAAACUCACCUUUAGCCUAAUUUGAAUAUUCCGGACAUUUUUCGUGUUUUGACUUUUUCGAUCCGGAGUACGGUUUUCCCCGGAGUCGGUCCGGCGGAGUUUUCGGGUAUUUUAAUUGUCGAUAAUUAUCCAGUUUGUCUCGAUAAACGUGAACCGAGAUAUUUUCUUCAUCCUUAUCAUGUAAUAAUUGCAGUGGGACCCGCAGACCAAUAAUUGAGUUAAAAAGCCCCGUUUUGAUGAUUAUCUUGAAAACUAGUACCGAUUGGACCCCACUUUCUUAAUAUAAAGCUAUUAAAUACGUAUUUUCAUGUCAUAAACGAUCCAAAGGGGUACCAAUUAUUUGUAAAUAUAAAUAUACCUUUCUAGAGCUUAUUUUCACCCGUAAAAUCAUUUCACCAGUUUCUCUGCACGAAUACCGAGAGAAACCGAGCGGUGUUCUUCGUGUUCUUCGUAAUCAAACGUGGAUUUGAAGGCGUUAUUGGAGUCAGAAUCAAGCGUGCGAAUAGUCAAAUCGAAGAUAUUGAAGAGUAGAACUCAAAUCAAGCAUCAAAAACAACCUGAGAUUCACAGGUAGGGAGUAAUUGAAGUUUUAAAAUUCGAAUUAUUAUGAUUUAAAUAGUGAAUUUUUGAAAACGUGUUUGUUUGAUGGUUUUGAUGAUUCCAUGUUGUAGAGCGUGUUUUUCUCGUCGUUUUGGUAUAUUAUAUGUUGAAUUUUGACUUCCAUAACAUAGAGAAAAGUCAGUUUAAUCUUUGAAAAGUCAUGUUCUUGGUGUUCUUGAGGAGUUCGCCGGAAUAUUUGAGUUUUUCGCCGGCAAAUCGUUCUGAUGAUUCUGGGUAGAAGCUGAGCAUACCAUUUGAUAGAUCGUAGCUUGUAGAAUCUGUUGGUAGUGUCCAAUCGUGCAAAGGGGCGGUGGAAACGUCGCCAGAAUCUGUAUUUUCAAGUCGGCGGCGGAGCUCUUUGGCUCCAUUUUCCGGCUUACUCGGGGGUUGGAUGUGAGUUCUGAAACCAGGAAUGAACUCCUGACGUUGUGCAGAUUGUUUGGUGUUGAUUUGGUGGGUGGAGGAAGCCGGGAGAGUAAUCUCCGGCGAAUCGGGGCGGUGGCGGCGGAAAAUAUCCGUUUGCACCCCCCAACUUUUGGAGAUGGUGACUUUGAGGCACCCAGGUUUUCAUUCUUUCAAAACAAACCCUGAUAGUUUCAGUUUUUACAAAUUAGACCCUGUGACCAAGUUUCAAAAUCUUACAGAAUAAACCUUUUCAUUUUGGAAAUGUUUUUAAUUAUUUUUAAUUAUUUUGAUUUUCAAAAAUAGUUUUUAAAUUAUUUCUUUACUCAAAAAUAAAUCUAAUUUGAUUUAUUAAUUAAUUUUAAUUAGUAAUUAAUUAUUUUAAUUAAUUAUUAAUUGAUUUUAAUUGAUUAAUUAAUUGGACUUAAUUAUCCUUUUUACUUUAAUCAAAUCGAAAAAUAGUUUCGAGCUUUAAAAUAUUUUUCCAAAUUAUUUUCAAGGCUCGAUAAUUAUUUAUGAAUGAUUUCAAGUCCAAUUUCAAGUAUUUGGGACUUGAUUAUUUAUCUGAAAAGUGAUUCUUUUAUCGAUUUUAAUUCCGAAAAAUGUUUAAAAAUUACAGAAAUUUCCCGAAAAAUCAUUUUGAACUCAAGAUUUGAUUUGACCUCUAUUGGGGUGGGAAACCUUAUGUGUAAUGUGUUGUCUGCUAUUGGUUGGAUGUCUUAUGUGUCGAUAUAAGAGUGAGAAAACGGUUUUAAACAUAUCUUUUGAUCCGUAAGUCGGAAUCGAGUGAAACGAAAGAGAGAUGAAAGCUUAUAAAGUCUAGUUUGAUAUGACAUAAUAAUAUGAUGGAGUCGAGAAUGUGAAUAAUUGUUGUGAAAUGUGCAAUGUGAUUAUAUGUUAUUUGAUUGCUAUUAAUUGAUGAUUACAUGAUAUACAUGUUUAUUCAUGAUAGUAUACACGUGUGAUAAACGAUUUGGAUGACAUAGUUUUGUGUAAUGAUCGAUAUUGGAUAAGAAUAUAUGAAUUAUAGUGAUUGGAUUUGGUUGGUUGAUGGUUGAUUUAGAUAAGAUAACAGGUGGAUAGUCUAACAAAUAGACGAAACGCUGCCAAAUUAUCGAUAUGAUUUAUAUGAUAAUUGAUUUGUGAUAUGUUAUGUGGAAUAUGACUUGACUAUAUGGUAGAGUCAAAGCAUGAUUACGUGUUAAGUGAUAUGUGAUAAGUUUAAAGGGGUAUAUAAGUGGGUAUCGAUAUACGUGAUAUGUAUAUGCGAUAUAUUGUUUAGUGACUAUAGUAUUAUCUUAUUUUCGUAAAGGAUUUGGAGGAGACGUNNNNNNNNNNNNNNNNNNNNNNNNNNNNNNNNNNNNNNNNNNNNNNNNNNNNNNNNNNNNNNNNNNNNNNNNNNNNNNNNNNNNNNNNNNNNNNNNNNNNNNNNNNNNNNNNNNNNNNNNNNNGAGGAGACAGAGUUGAGGAUCCAGUGGUCAGGGAGUGGUGAGGAAAGUUGAUGAGAUUGGUGCAAGCUGGAAUAGUUGACAGUGAUUCUUCUUAUCGAAGAUGAUCUGACUUGGUAAGAAAUAUUGUAUAGUAUUAGUGGUGGAUUCUAAUUUCAAUACUGUAACCUGGAAGCGAUCCUGUUGUUUUGGGGGUUAAAUGUUCUCUUAAAAUUUUCUUAUUAUGGUUUUCAAGUUUGAAAUUCAGGUUUUGAAAUCAUUUGAUUUAUGUUCUCAUUCAAAGUUUUUAUUAAAUGUUUUCAAGUUUUAAAUUCUUUUGGAUUUUCAUUAUCUUUAAAUGAAAAUACCAGGUUUCAAAAGUAUUUUAAAAAGGGUUUUGUGUGGUGACGUCAGAAUCCAGACCCCCGGAUUCUCGGACUGUCACAGUUGGUAUCAGAGCAACAGGUUACAAGUUAUUGGAAUUUGAAUAUAGAUUAUAGUUUUAAGUUCUAUUGAUGAGGAAUGUUGUGUAACCUCACAUAGAGGUAUUGUGAGACUAUCUGGAAAUAGUCUAGAGAUGUGUCAGGAUUAGAAUCUAGUUAGAUGAUUAAGUUGAGUGUAUAAGUUUAGAGAGAUUUUGAUUCUUAAGUUUAGACAUAGGAUUUCUAGUUGAUUAGGAUUCUUAAGUUUAGACAUAUGAUUUCUAGUAUGUUGAUUAAUUGAGAUGGUGAAUUGUGGGAAAGGUCAGUAUUAGACCAAUAUAGAAGAGUUUGAUAGUGAAUGAUUGAAUUGAGAAUGGUGAAAAUGCAGAGUCAUAGUAUUCUGACUAUACUGCAUAUUUGAAACUGGAUUAUUGUAUUGAUUUGAGGAUGAUAUAAAUGCAUGGUUCAUAGUAUGUUGACCAUGUUGGAUAUUUGGAAAAGUAUAUUGUUUUGUGAGAUAUGAAGAGUUAGUGUAAGAUAUGAGUUGUACUGAAUCAGAAGGAGAGAUUUAUAGAUAGAGGUGGAUAGGUGAGAAGUGAAUGAUAGAGAGUAUGUGGAGUUGAGUCCAGCUAUUAGAGGUAAUGUCUGCGAAUAAGUUAGAACGUUAGUCCUCGACGACAACGCUUCGAGCUAAUCGGGGUUUCAAAUGGCAUCAAGGUGGGCCCAUAACCCACAGGUUGAUGAUCCAGACAAUCGAAUAUACAAUACCUAUCGAAGAUACGUUACGUGUUUGUGCUAUGGAUUUCAAAGGCAACUGGGAUAAAGUAGAAGAAUGUAAAUUACAUGGGCCAGAGUUAUUACGGACGAUAACGUCUACGAUGACAUCUUACGAGGCUAUUACGAGUCAAAUCGAUUGAUUAUCGAGAACGUUGAAAGGAUGACAUAAAUCGAAUAACGAUUUCGUAAAGUAGAGUGGGAAUUUGAGAAGACCUUGGCAAUACCUCUCUUCAACUAAAGAUUCUUUUGAUUAUUUUCUCAUCAGUGAGAUAUUAUCAUGAUAUCUUUUCUACAAAAGUUUUGAUAAAUGAGAUCUUCAAUUUCUCAAAUUCUAAGAUGACAUUGAUAUUGAUUAUUGGUAUGAGUUGGAAAGCAAAGAUGUGUGAUAAAGGUUUGUUGUGAAGAGAUAGUGAUGUUCCUUGAUAUUGUUUGACAUUUCUUGACAUUCCUUGAUACCCUUUCAUCUUCCUUGAUAUCCCUUGAUGUUCUUUGAUAUCUUUGAUAUUCCUUGACAUUCUUUGAUAUUCCUUGACAUUUAUUCAAUUUGAUUGGGAUGAACAACCCUAUUUAUAGGGGACACAAGGUAUACCUGUCUGUGUGAUAGGAGUUGGAUGGGACGCCAUCACUUGUGUGUGUUGUGAUUACAAGAAGGUUAACAACCUUUAGUAGUGUCUAAUAUGGACACGCAACAUUAAGUUCAUUUGAUCUUAUUGAUCUCCCAGUCACUCUUGUAUUCCAAUGUGACCUAUUUUGAAAAUAUCUUGUUCCUCCGAAAUUCCCAAAGAUUGAUUCUUGGGAAAUGAAUGUUGCAAUCGCGAAAGUUUGACUUUCCUUUUCCAUUAAAGUUAAAGGUAUGCCAAGAUCAAUCAAAGGUGGAUGACGAUAUGAUAUUACGAAGUGUGUACGUUUUAGUUUCUUCGGAGGAUUCCGAGGACGGAAUCCUUAUAAGGGGGGUAGAAUGUAAUAUCCCAUAUUAUUAAAUUUAGAUUUGAUUAUUAUAAAUCUAUUUGUCUAGAUAUUAUUGUUGGCUCUAGUUGAAUAUUGAUAUGAUUAUGUGAAUAGUUGUAUGUGAUUAUACUUGUUAUGUGGAUUAAUAUGGAUUUUACAGAUUAUGCGUCCUCCUUCUUUCUCUGAUUCCGAGGACGGAAUCCCUAUAAGGAGGGUAGAUUGUAAUAACCCGGAUUUUAAAAAUAUUUUUAUUAAUAUUAUAAAUGAUUUUCUUAAAAAGAAAGGAAUAAGAUUUAAUAUUUUAUUCCAGUUUAAGGAGUUUUCAAAAUUUUAUAUUAAACCCCGGGUUAUUGUGUUAUUGAUAAAUGAUUAUAUUUUUAAAACUGAUUUUCAUAUAUUGUUUCGAAAAUUCUAGAUGAUUAUUAUGUGAAUAUAUGUGUGAUGUGAGUAAGUGGUAUUGGUGGAUUUGUUGGUUAAUUAAUUAUGGUUAAUUAUGAGUAUUAUAUGAUUAAUAUAUGAAUUUUUGUGAAUUUUAUAUUAUCUGGUUUAUUGCGUUAACUGCUCAUAUGUGUUCGUAUUUGAGAGAUUUCAAUUUCUAUAUGCUCAGGAGAAAAUAUAGUUUAUUUGGAUAUUUUCAUAUCGAUUUAUGGAAUGUUAGAUGAUUUUAUAAUCGAUUUACGGAUUUAAUUGCGUAUAUUUAUAUUUAUUUAUUAAUUAUUUGACUUCCGUAAAACCGUCCACUCGUAACGAGGUAGCAAAUUUUCUUCCCGGAAGUUUCAACAAAACUCACCUUUAGCCUAAUUUGAAUAUUCCGGACAUUUUUCGUGUUUUGACUUUUUCGAUCCGGAGUACGGUUUUCCCCGGAGUCGGUCCGGCGGAGUUUUUCGGGUAUUUUAAUUGUUGAUAAUUAUCCAGUUUGUCUCGAUAAGCGUGAAACGAGAUAUUUUGAUUAUUAUAUUCAUCCUUAUCUUGUAAUAAUUGCAAUGGGACCCGCAGACCAAUAAUUGAGUUAAAAAGCCCCGUUUUGAUGAUUAUCUCGAAAACCGGUACCGAUUGGACCCCGCUUUAUUAAUAUAAAGCUAUUAAAUACGUAUUUUCAUGUCAUAAACGAUCCAAAGGGGUACCAAUUAUUUGUAAAUAUAAAUAGACUUUCCUGUAACUUAUUUUCACCGUAGAAAUCAUUUCAACAGUUUCUCUGCACGAAUAUCGAGAGAAACCGAGCGGUGUUCUUCGUGUUCUUCAUAAUCAAACGAAGAUUUGAAGGUGUUAUUGGAAUCCGAUGGAGGCGUAUAAAUAGUCAAAACGAAGCUAUCGACGCGUAGAAUCAAGUUUAAUCAUCCGUUUAUAUGCAGAUUCAACAGGUGAUUUUAGAUUAUUUUUCUAAAAUUCGAGUUUAUAUGAUUUAAAUGAUGAAUUUUUGCAAACGAUUCCGUUUAUGUGAUUUGAUGAUUCUAUGAUGUAGAGCAUGUUUUUCUCGUCGUUUUGGUAUAUUAUAUGUCAAAAACGGAGUUCAAUAACAUGUAGAAAAGUCAGUUUGAUUAUUGAAAUUGUGUUCUUGGUGUUCUUGAGCUUGUUGCCGGAAAAGUUUGAAUUUUGGCCGGAAAAUGGGUUCCGCUAAAUCUGGGCAGUAGUGGUAUAUAUGAAUAGAAAGAGGAGAGAAAGGGGAGUAUGCUGGUGUGCUUGGUUUGAGCGGAGGUGGCUCGAAUCGCCGCCAUCGGCGGCGGGAAGUCGCCGACUUCGGCCGGAUUUUCCGGCGAAUUCGCGCGACUUCUGCCUAAUUAAAGAUGGGGGAUUGAUUUAUGGGUGUGUGUACUACUGAUCUGGAGUAGAUGGUGAGUGGAGGACGCCUGGAAACGAAAAUCCGGCAAGUUAGUGUGAUGGCCGGCGGCUUAUUGCUGUUUGGUCACCGAAGUUUUGAAGAUGAUGAAGUUUUUGUACUCAGGUUUUGAAACUUAUGAAUUACCCCCUGUAACUUUGAAAAGUUGCACUUUAAACCCUGGACAAAACUUUCAAAAGUUUACAAAAUAAACCUUUUGAUUUAAUUUUCUAAAAUUGUUUUAUUUAAUUAUUUUAAAUUCCAAAAAUAGUUUUUAAUUAUUUCUUUAUUCAAAAAUAAAUCUAAAUUAGUUUAUUAAUUAAUUUUAAUUAGUAAUUAAUUAUUUUAAUUGGUCAAUUAAUUUAAAUAUUAAUUGAUUAAUUAUUUUAAUUAAUUAUUAAUUGAUUUUAAUUGAUUAAUUAAUUGGAUUUAAUUAAUCCUUUUUGAUUUAAAAAUUCCGAAAAAUAGUUUCGAGCUUUAAAAUAUUUUUCCAAAUUAUUUUCAAGGCUCGAUAAUUGUUUAUGAAUGAUUUCAAGUCCAAUUUCAAGUAUUUGGGACUUGAUUAUUUAUCCGAAAAGUGAUUCUUUUAUCGAUUUUAAUUCCGAAAAAUGUUUAAAAAUUCCAGAAAAUUCCCGAAAAAUCAUUUUUAACCCAAGACUUGAUUUAAUAUCAAUUGGGAUGGGAAACCUUAUGUGUUGUGUGUUGUCUGCUAUUGGUUGGAUGUGUUAUGUGCCGAUAGGAGAGUGAGAAAACUGUUUUGAGCAUAACUUUUGAUCCGUAAGUCGGAAUCAAGUGAAACGAAAGAGAGACAGAAGCUUAUAACGUCUAUUUUAAUAUGAUGUGACUAUAUGGCUGAGUCUAUAAGGUGAAUAAUUGUUGAUAAGUAUGCAUAAUGUGAUAAUAUGUGAUCUAAGUGCUAUCAGGUGAUGAUUAUGUGAAGUACGUGUUAGUUUUGAUAUUGUGAAGUGAUAAAUGAUUCGUAUGAUUGAUAUUGGAUAAGAAUAUAUGGAUUAUAGCUAUUGGAUUUUGUUGGUUGAUUAAUGAUUGAGAUAGGAUAAUAGGUGGAUAGUCUUAUACAUAGACGAGACGAUGUCGGAUUUUCGAUAAGGAUUUAUAUGAUAAUUGAUUGGUGAUAUGUUAUGUGGAAUAUGAUUGACUAUAUGUUAGAGUCAAAGCAUGCUUAUGUGUUACGUGGUAUCUGAUAAGUUUAAAGGGAUAUAUAAGUGGGUAUCGAUAUACGUGAGAUGUAUAUGCGAUCGAUUGUUUAGUGAUUAUAGUGUUAUCUUAUUCUCGUAAAGGAUUUGGACGAGACGUGUAUGCCCGAAGACGUUCAGAAAGUCACGUGGUGUUACAAAGCGAAUAAGGGAUGAAUCGAGUAAGCGAAGCGAAGAUGUACGGUAGAUAGAGUAUAGCCAGAGAUGGUCUAGAGACUAUGAGAUGCAUAGAUUGUGAAAGUGGAAAGAUGAGAUUGAGAUGUGAGACUGGAGUCAGAUUUAAGGCAAGUAUCCUAAACCUUUCUCUUGGAUAUAUUGCAAAUAUUCUGAUCCAUUCCUUUGGUAUAUGUUUCAAGUAUUCAUACCUUUCUUUUCAAUGUUCGAAAGUGCGAGUAUUCUGACCCAUUCUUUCUAAUCUUCAAGUUUCUAAAGAAUUUCCGUUUUACAAAUUAAUUCGAAGUUCAGAUUGUCAUUGAAGCAUGUGUUGCUCAGUGAUAGUUAGAGCUUUGAAUGAAUUGGGAUCUUCUUGAUUAUUCAACCCGCCAUUGUCAUGCUGGUUUAGCAGGCUAAAUUCAGUUGCUUAGCCGAUAAUGGAGGAUACUGAAUAGUUGAGGAUUUCCUGAACUGUGAUUUAUGAAAUGAUGGAUCAUGAUUUAUGAAUAGAUUAUUAUCAAAGUUUGAAUUGGAAUUAUUCUGUUGUUGAUGAUAUUUAUGAUGAUGUUCUGUUGAUUUACAUUGGCUUCUUGAAUUGAAUUAGAGAAUUGGAUUAUUGUUUUUAUAUAAACCUGUGGACCAGAUUCGUGGUCAUGUUAGGCCAAUGAGUGCCUUGGAUCCAGUGAUAGAGCAUGGCGGGGCCUGCUCGGGGUUAGGUAUGACUGAUCAGCAUCCUGACCUUGGUUUUUAAUUAAAAAUGUGAUAGUCCAAUUCAAUAAUUCUCUUGUGAAGGAUUGAAUUCCUCAGGUUUCUAUUGCUGCAAGGUAUUGUGAUUCUUUUAUACAAUACCUAAAUUUGUGAACUCAGGUUGAAUCUUUUUAUAUCUUGAACUCGAGAAUUUCUGUUAUAUCACUUCAGAACUUUCAUUGUUAUUAUUACUUGCUGAGCAUUGUUGCUCACUCUUGCUAUUCUCUUUUAACCAUUUCAGAAAAGCUUAAAGAUGAGAUGAUUGAUUGAGAUUGUGGAUAAGGCUAAUGCUAGGCGAGGAGACAGAGUUGAGGAGGAGACAGAGUUGAGGAUCCAGUGGUCAGGGAGUGGUGAGGAAAGUUGAUGAGAUUGGUGCAAGCUGGAAUAGUUGACAGUGAUUCUUCUUAUCGAAGAUGAUCUGACUUGGUAAGAAAUAUUGUAUAGUAUUAGUGGUGGAUUCUAAUUUCAAUACUGUAACCUGGAAGCGAUCCUGUUGUUUUGGGGGUUAAAUGUUCUCUUAAAAUUUUCUUAUUAUGGUUUUCAAGUUUGAAAUUCAGGUUUUGAAAUCAUUUGAUUUAUGUUCUCAUUCAAAGUUUUUAUUAAAUGUUUUCAAGUUUUAAAUUCUUUUGGAUUUUCAUUAUCUUUAAAUGAAAAUACCAGGUUUCAAAAGUAUUUUAAAAAGGGUUUUGUGUGGUGACGUCAGAAUCCAGACCCCCGGAUUCUCGGAAUGUCACAGUAUUAGUAAGAGAAUGAACAUGCAUAAACUGACUGAUAACAAAUAUUUUCUCCGUCUGUUUUUAGUUGUCACAUUUUAUUUUUGCUGGUUAAAUUGACUGAGUUUUGACCAAAGAUUAUAAAUUUUGUAAAUUCUUUAUAAAAAUAAAUAAUUAUCCUAUAUUCGAUAUAUCUUCUGUCCCAACAGAUUCUUUACGUUAUUUUUUAAAAUGUAUUUUAAAAUUCCUAUAAAUACAAUUCUAUAAUAUAAAAUAUAUGAUUAUAUAUAUAUACACACAUAUAUUUAUAUAUAAUAUACAAUAUAUAUUUAUAUAUAUAAUAUACAUAGACUACCGCAAAUGUAAACCAUCCCUUAAAUACAAACUAAAAACCAAUCCAAUUUAAAAUGUAGCGACAUUCUCUUUAGAAUGUGUGAUUUGUGUUACAAAAUUUGGUGAAAACAUCCUGAAAAUGGUGAAAACCUCCAGAUAUGUUCUUGUUGUCAAUUCAAUUGGUGGUGGCGGUGGCGCAGAGAGUGGAGGUGAAGGGGGAGGCGGAGGUGGUGGACAUGAAACGAGUUUUUGGCUCUAUUCGACAGAUUCCGUAAAAAUAUAGAAGCGAAAUUGGCAGUAAAGCGAGGACAAUGGUACUCGAGGUGCAAACGAUCGUGGUGAGGUGGGGGGACGGUAGGUGAGGUGGAUUUGGUGGUGAUAAGGCGGGGGCGGGCGUUAUUAGGUGGUCCCAAUACCAUAACUUUAUCAUUACUAGUGACUACUUAACACCAUCACACACCUAUUCUCAUCACUUACUAUUAUUAUUAACGUCCUACGACUACAAUUGACCAUCAAUAAUCGACAACAGAUAAUUAAAUUAAAUAAUUUUUUUAUCAUAGAAAAUAAAAAUUACUAAUUUUACCGUGUAAAAUGGUGAUAAUGAAGUAUGAACAGAUG